RNAcentral lists this ribosomal RNA (253 nucleotides) under uncultured bacterium. RNAcentral's name for it is "partial 16S ribosomal RNA". It matches the Rfam family "Bacterial small subunit ribosomal RNA", at positions 524 to 776 of the family's 1533-position model. The record is from RNAcentral.
UACGAAGGGGGCUAGCGUUGCUCGGAAUUACUGGGCGUAAAGGGCGCGUAGGCGGACAGCUUAGUCAGAGGUGAAAGCCCAGGGCUCAACCUUGGAAAUGCCUUUGAUACUGGCUGUCUUGAGUUCGGGAGAGGUGAGUGGAAUGCCGAGUGUAGAGGUGAAAUUCGUAGAUAUUCGGCGGAACACCAGUGGCGAAGGCGACUCACUGGCCCGAUACUGACGCUGAGGCGCGAAAGCGUGGGGAGCGAACAGG